AUGGCUCAGGAUGAACGCUAGCGGCAGGCUUAACACAUGCAAGUCGAGGGGGCAGCGGGAUGUAGCAAUACAUUGCCGGCGACCGGCGGAUGGGUGCGUAACGCGUAUGCAACCUACCUUAUACAGGGGAAUAACCUUUCGAAAGGGAGACUAACACCCCAUAGUAUUGAUUUAAGGCAUCUUAGAUUAAUUAAAUAUUUAUAGGUAUAAGAUGGGCAUGCGUAUGAUUAGCUAGUUGGUAAGGUAACGGCUUACCAAGGCGACGAUCAUUAGGGGUUCUGAGAGGAAGGUCCCCCACACUGGUACUGAGACACGGACCAGACUCCUACGGGAGGCAGCAGUGAGGAAUAUUGGUCAAUGGGCGCAAGCCUGAACCAGCCAUGCCGCGUGCAAGGAAGACGGCCUUAUGGGUUGUAAACUGCUUUUACAUAAGACUAACCGUAUAUUUGCGAAUAUACCUGAAUGUAUUAUGAGAAUAAGGAUCGGCUAACUCCGUGCCAGCCGCCGC
This 508-nucleotide ribosomal RNA is filed under the name uncultured bacterium. RNAcentral describes it as "bacterial SSU rRNA". It matches the Rfam family "Bacterial small subunit ribosomal RNA", at positions 19 to 518 of the family's 1533-position model. The record is from RNAcentral.